UGUGGAGACAAUUCUUUCAAA
RNAcentral lists this non-coding RNA (21 nucleotides) under Caenorhabditis elegans. Lineage: Eukaryota; Metazoa; Nematoda; Chromadorea; Rhabditida; Rhabditidae. The record is from RNAcentral.